Molecule: long non-coding RNA, 101 nt
Organism: Salvia splendens (bonfire salvia)
Lineage: Eukaryota; Viridiplantae; Streptophyta; Magnoliopsida; Lamiales; Lamiaceae
Exons: 2
Source: RefSeq, a predicted model, not a curated record
UUUGGUCACUAAUUAUGUUUAUGCUGUUGCUGAUGCAGCAUACCAUACAAUGAGCUGAAGUGGAUCAAAUCGGAUAUGACAUUAUGCAAGAGAGAUGUGGG